CCCUUAGAUGUUCUGGGCUGCACGCGUGCUACAAUGGCGCUUGCAACAAGUCUUGCCAACCCGAUAGGGUGAGCGGAUCUUUGAAGAGGCGUCGUGAUCGGGACAGUUGAUUGCAAUUAUUCGACUCGAACGAGGAAUUCCUUGUAAUCGCGAUUCAUCAUAUCGCGCUGAAUACGUCCCUGCCCUUUGUACACACCGCCCGUCGCUCCUACCGAUGAGUCGUCCGGUGAAGUUCGUAGACCUCGUGAUCGCGGAUCACUGGGGGAAGCAAAAUGAACCUCGCGGUUUAGAGGAAGGAGAAGUCGUAACA
RNAcentral lists this ribosomal RNA (310 nucleotides) under uncultured eukaryote. Its description in RNAcentral is "partial 18S ribosomal RNA". It matches the Rfam family "Eukaryotic small subunit ribosomal RNA", at positions 1470 to 1796 of the family's 1831-position model. The record is from RNAcentral.